This is a microRNA precursor of Oryza sativa Japonica Group (Japanese rice), 205 nucleotides long. It matches the Rfam family "MIR812 microRNA precursor family". The record is from Rfam. Lineage: Eukaryota; Viridiplantae; Streptophyta; Magnoliopsida; Poales; Poaceae.
UUUAAGUGCAACCAUAAGUUUCCGCGCUCAACAUUGAUUUUCCGUCUUAUUCGCAAUUUUUUUUAUAAUUAGUAUUUUUGUUGUUAUGAGAUGAUAAAACAUAAAUAGUAUUUUAUUCGUGUUUUAUGUUUUUAAUUUUUUAAAAAUAUUUUCAAAUAUUACGAACAAUUAAAAUUGGAUGAAGAAAACCAUGUCUACACUUGGA